RNAcentral lists this transfer RNA (74 nucleotides) under Chloroflexota bacterium. RNAcentral's name for it is "Chloroflexi bacterium tRNA-Arg". It matches the Rfam family "tRNA". From Rfam's summary of the family: Transfer RNA (tRNA) molecules are approximately 80 nucleotides in length. Their secondary structure includes four short double-helical elements and three loops (D, anti-codon, and T loops). The record is from RNAcentral. Lineage: Bacteria; Bacillati; Chloroflexota.
GGGCCGUUAGCUCAGUUGGAUAGAGCGCGAACCCUCUAAGUUCGUGGUCGCCGGUUCGAGCCCGGCACGGCCCG